UACGUAGGGAGCAAGCGUUGUCCGGAAUCAUUGGGCGUAAAGCGCGCGUAGGUGGCUUCGUAAGUCCGUUGUGAAAGUCAAAGGCUCAACCUUUGAAAGCCGAUGGAUACUGCGGAGCUAGAGUACGGAAGAGGCGAGUGGAAUUCCUGGUGUAGCGGUGGAAUGGCGCAGAUAUCAGGAGGAACACCGGUGGCGAAGGCGGGUCUCUGGGCAGUGAACUGACGCUGAGGAGCGAAAGCGUGGGGAGCAAACAGG
This 255-nucleotide ribosomal RNA is filed under the name uncultured bacterium. RNAcentral describes it as "partial 16S ribosomal RNA". It matches the Rfam family "Bacterial small subunit ribosomal RNA", at positions 524 to 776 of the family's 1533-position model. The record is from RNAcentral.